UAGGGGNCUAUCAUGCAAGUCGAGCGCGGGAAGCAAGCGGAUCCCCUUCGGGGGUGACGCUUGUGGAACGAGCGGCGGACGGGUGAUUAACACGUGGGCAACCUGCCUGUAAAACUGGGAUAACCCCGGGAAACCGGGGCUAAUACCGGAUAACACCGGACUCCACAUGGAGUCGGGUUGAAAGAUGGCUUCUUGCUAUCACUUACAGAUGGGCCCGCGGCGCAUUAGCUAGUUGGUGAGGUAACGGCUCACCAAGGCGACAAUGCGUAGCCAACCUGAGAGGGUGAUCGGCCACACUGGGACUGAAACACGGCCCAAACUCCUACGGGAGGCAGCAGUAGGGAAUCUUCCGCAAUGGACGAAAGUCUGACGGAGCAACGCCGCGUGAACGAUGAAGGUCUUCGGAUCGUAAAGUUCUGUUGUCAGGGAAAAACAAGUGCCGUGCGAAUAGAGCGGCACCUUGACGGUACCUGACGAGGAAGCCCCGGCUAACUACGUGCCAGCAGCCGCGGUAAUACGUAGGGGGCAAGCGUUGUCCGGAAUUAUUGGGCGUAAAGCGCGCGCAGGCGGUUUCUUAAGUCUGAUGUGAAAGCCCACGGCUCAACCGUGGAGGGUCAUUGGAAACUGGGGAACUUGAGUACAGAAAAGGAAAGUGGAAUUCCACGUGUAGCGGUGAAAUGCGUAAAUAUGUGGAGGAACACCAGUGGCGAAGGCGACUCUCUGGUCUGUAACUGACGCUGAGGCGCGAAAGCGUGGGGAGCAAACAGGAUUAGAUACCCUGGUAGUCCACGCCGUAAACGAUGAGUGCUAGGUGUUAGGGGGCUUCCACCCCUUAUUGCUGAAGUUAAC
This 849-nucleotide ribosomal RNA is filed under the name Thalassobacillus sp. HS280. RNAcentral describes it as "bacterial SSU rRNA". It matches the Rfam family "Bacterial small subunit ribosomal RNA", at positions 43 to 856 of the family's 1533-position model. The record is from RNAcentral. Lineage: Bacteria; Bacillati; Bacillota; Bacilli; Caryophanales; Bacillaceae.